GACGAGCGCUGGCGGCGUGCCUAAUACAUGCAAGUUGAGCGCUGAAGGUUGGUCCUUGUACCAACUGGAUGAGCAGCGAACGGGUGAGUAACGCGUGGGGAAUCUGCCUUUGAGCGGGGGACAACAUUUGGAAACGAAUGCUAAUACCGCAUAAAAACUUUAAACACAAGUUUUAAGUUUGAAAGAUGCAAUUGCAUCACUCAAAGAUGAUCCCGCGUUGUAUUAGCUAGUUGGUGAGGUAAAGGCUCACCAAGGCGAUGAUACAUAGCCGACCUGAGAGGGUGAUCGGCCACAUUGGGACUGAGACACGGCCCAAACUCCUACGGGAGGCAGCAGUAGGGAAUCUUCGGCAAUGGACGAAAGUCUGACCGAGCAACGCCGCGGGAGUGAAGAAGGUUGUCGGAUCGUAAAACUCUGUUGGUAGAGAAGAACGUUGGUGAGAGUGGAAAGCUCAUCAAGUGACGGUAACUACCCAGAAAGGGACGGCUAACUACGUG
This 497-nucleotide ribosomal RNA is filed under the name uncultured bacterium. RNAcentral describes it as "partial 16S ribosomal RNA". It matches the Rfam family "Bacterial small subunit ribosomal RNA", at positions 28 to 507 of the family's 1533-position model. The record is from RNAcentral.